Molecule: transfer RNA, 78 nt
Filed under: Maritimibacter sp.
Lineage: Bacteria; Pseudomonadati; Pseudomonadota; Alphaproteobacteria; Rhodobacterales; Roseobacteraceae
Also listed under: 1 other name
Description: tRNA-Arg
Rfam family: tRNA
About the family: Transfer RNA (tRNA) molecules are approximately 80 nucleotides in length. Their secondary structure includes four short double-helical elements and three loops (D, anti-codon, and T loops).
Source: RNAcentral
GGGCCGUUAGCUCAGCUGGAUCAGAGCACGGGAUUUCUAAUCCUGGGGUCGAGGGUUCGAGUCCUUCACGGCCCGCCA